UGAGGAAUAUUGGUCAAUGGACGAGAGUCUGAACCAGCCAAGUAGCGUGAAGGAUGACUGCCCUAUGGGUUGUAAACUUCUUUUAUACGGGAAUAAAGUGAGGCACGUGUGCCUUUUUGUAUGUACCGUAUGAAUAAGGAUCGGCUAACUCCGUGCCAGCAGCCGCGGUAAUACGGAGGAUCCGAGCGUUAUCCGGAUUUAUUGGGUUUAAAGGGAGCGUAGGCGGACGCUUAAGUCAGUUGUGAAAGUUUGCGGCUCAACCGUAAAAUUGCAGUUGAUACUGGGUGUCUUGAGUACAGUAGAGGCAGGCGGAAUUCGUGGUGUAGCGGUGAAAUGCUUAGAUAUCACGAAGAACUCCGAUUGCGAAGGCAGCUUGCUGGACUGUAACUGACGCUGAUGCUCGAAAGUGUGGGUAUCAAACAGGAUUAGAUACCCUGGUAGUCCACACAGUAAACGAUGAAUACUCGCUGUUUGCGAUAUACAGUAAGCGGCCAAGCGAAAGCGUUAAGUAUUCCACCUGGGGAGUACGCCGGCAACGGUGAAACUCAAAGGAAUUGACGGGGGCCCGCACAAGCGGAGGAACAUGUGGUUUAAUUCGAUGAUACGCGAGGAACCUUACCCGGGCUUGAAUUGCAACUGAAUGAUGUGGAGACAUGUCAGCCGCAAGGCAGUUGUGAAGGUGCUGCAUGGUUGUCGUCAGCUCGUGCCGUGAGGUGUCGGCUUAAGUGCCAUAACGAGCGCAACCCUUAUCGAUAGCUACCAUCAGGUUAUGCUGGGGACUCUGUCGAGACUGCCGUCGUAAGAUGUGAGGAAGGUGGGGAUGACGUCAAAUCAGCACGGCCCUUACGUCCGGGGCUACACACGUGUUACAAUGGGGGGUACAGAAGGCAGCUACACGGCGACGUGAUGCUAAUCCCGAAAGCCUCUCUCAGUUCGGAUUGGAGUCUGCAACCCGACUCCAUGAAGCUGGAUUCGCUAGUAAUCGCGCAUCAGCCACGGCGCGGUGAAUACGUUCCC
RNAcentral lists this ribosomal RNA (1017 nucleotides) under uncultured bacterium. RNAcentral's name for it is "bacterial SSU rRNA". It matches the Rfam family "Bacterial small subunit ribosomal RNA", at positions 355 to 1375 of the family's 1533-position model. RNAcentral also lists the same sequence under 1 other name. The record is from RNAcentral.